AAACCAGCACCUCAAGUGGUCAGGAUGAUUAUUGGGCCUAAAGCAUCCGUAGCCUGCUUUGUCAGUUUUCGGUUAAAUCCAUACGCUCAACGUAUGGGCUGCCGGAAAUACUGCAAAGCUAGGGAGUGGGAGAGGUAGACGGUACUCGGGAGGAAGGGGUAAAAUCCUUUGAUCUCUCGAUGACCACCUGUGGCGAAGGCGGUCUACCAGAACACGUCCGACGGUGAGGGAUGAAAGCUGGGGGAGCAAACCGGAUUAGAAACCCCAGUAGUCC
This 274-nucleotide ribosomal RNA is filed under the name uncultured bacterium. Its description in RNAcentral is "partial 16S ribosomal RNA". It matches the Rfam family "Archaeal small subunit ribosomal RNA", at positions 473 to 747 of the family's 1478-position model. The record is from RNAcentral.